GGAGAGGUGGGUGAGUGGUUGAAACCGCACCCCUGCUAAGGGUGUAUACCGCAAGGUAUCGAGGGUUCGAAUCCCUCCCUCUUCG
RNAcentral lists this transfer RNA (85 nucleotides) under Deinococcus deserti VCD115. It matches the Rfam family "tRNA". Rfam says of the family: Transfer RNA (tRNA) molecules are approximately 80 nucleotides in length. Their secondary structure includes four short double-helical elements and three loops (D, anti-codon, and T loops). Further hydrogen bonds mediate the characteristic L-shaped molecular structure. tRNAs have two regions of fundamental functional importance: the anti-codon, which is responsible for specific mRNA codon recognition, and the 3' end, to which the tRNAs corresponding amino acid is attached (by aminoacyl-tRNA synthetases). tRNAs cope with the degeneracy of the genetic code in two manners: having more than one tRNA (with a specific anti-codon) for a particular amino acid; and 'wobble' base-pairing, i.e. permitting non-standard base-pairing at the 3rd anti-codon position. The record is from Rfam by way of RNAcentral. Lineage: Bacteria; Thermotogati; Deinococcota; Deinococci; Deinococcales; Deinococcaceae.